This 3714-nucleotide unclassified non-coding RNA is filed under the name Leishmania donovani. Its description in RNAcentral is "gene:LdHU3.12.0260(CDS-product:hypothetical_prote in_conserved)". Lineage: Eukaryota; Euglenozoa; Kinetoplastea; Trypanosomatida; Trypanosomatidae. The record is from RNAcentral.
GUAACGUGUGCUUCGCGUGUGCUCGAUGCACCGGCGCUGCGCGUUGAGUGGUUUAGACAGAGAGCGAACAGUGCCGUUGGUAGACAUAGAGACGCCGCGCGCCCACACACACGCACAGGGACCGCCAUCAUCGGACAUGGAAGCCUACCCAUUCUCUGUUGUCUCUCCUGUUGUCUUGCUGCAGAUUAGUGGUCACUGUAACAAAGAAUGUCCGACGUGCUCGGGUACCUCAACGGGGUGCUGCACCGAGUUUCGGCGACGUUCAUGCCGACCGAGAUGGACGACGUCGCCUCAUUCUUGCGCGGGGAUGCGUGGGUGGUCGCAACGGCGGCUUCCGCGUCGGCUCAGCAGACAGCACAGACAUCCUCCACAGCAGCAACCGACUUGUCGCCCGGGGCCGCAAGGCCGACUACGGUUUGUUACCCUCUUGGUGCAACACGCUGGGGUCACUUCAUCCCGCUCGGUAUUGCAGGCACCACACUAGUCUCCGCCGCCACCUCCGGAAGCCGAGCGGUGCUGCUCAAUUUCUUCGAGAGUAACGGAUUCGAGCAGGUGUUCACCGUGAGUCUCGUGCCGACCGAGCAGCAGCAGCAGCAGUCGAACGUGCAUCUGGCGGCACCAGGGACGAUGGAAGCUGCGAGUAGCUCUGGGGGCGCCGCCCUCUCUCGCGAUGGUCACCGUCACGCGGACCUCUGGCGCGCCCAAUGGCAUUCUUCCUUCUCGCCCAGCGGCACUGGCGAUACAGCCGCCUUUCGUAAACGGGCUCGGUCUAAUGCAGUCUCGUCUGCGGUCAUCGACGUGUCGCUGGACAGUCGCUAUAGCACUACGGCAGAGGCAGCGCGGCAGGCGUGCAUGGCUGCUGCGCGUCGCUGGUUCGAGGGGGUCGAGGAGAGGGCUCUGCUGGACGCCGAUGAGGUGAGAGAGGGCGGAGAUGGAGGUGCGCGGCGCAAGCACAAAACGUAUCUUCGGCGUCUGCUUUUGAUAGUGCGGUGCUGUACAGACAACCGUGUGGCGUUCUCCACCCGUGGUGGUGCCACUGGCGCGGCGCAGGCGUCAUUGUCGGGCACAAGCCGCCGGCACCGCCGCGGCGAAGACCCUCUAUACCUGCUGCUGCAUGACCUCGCAGCUCUCACGACAUUAUACGAGGUGCGGCUGGCUUCCACGUGCUGCGUGGCGCGGCCUGCGGUGCUGCUGCUGCCAGAAGACGACAGCUACGGCGGCUCCAUGCUGAGGCAGCAGCUCCGGGAGGAAGUGGGACACCGGUACUGGGUUGAGCUUUUCUUGCAGUCGGAUGGCGCAUCGAGUGGCGUUCCCGCGCGCCAUGGUGAAGCUGGCGCGGCGGACGCUGGCCGAGGAGCACGGAAAGGUGACGGGUGGAGAGCAACGCUGAUCGGCUGCAGCAGCGGUGCGAGUGUCGCACCUGGUGGGCUGGGUAGCGUCUUGCGACAGCGGCAGCACGAGCAGACCGAGACGCCGCUCGAGCGGGGCUGCCGCCUGGCGGCACAGUGGGGUGUUCUGGACCUGCCAGCGGCAACGCGAAGCGAGCCGCAAAACACGGGAGGUGAGGCGUUCAGGUACUCUGUAGCGAGCGCAUCCCCUUCUGUGGGCGUUCUUGGUGGUGGUAGUGCUUCGGAGCAGACGCCGUCAUCUAUUGCAGGCGGCCCUCAACCUACGGGGCGCGUCUCUGCUCAGCAACAGGAAGAGGGGCUGCGCCGCCACGCGUCCUGCUUUUUCCUGCGCCCCAGCAACGCACCGCUGUGCGUCUUCUUGAUGGAGGCACUGCGCCGCUUUCCGGUGCUUGUUCGGCCAGCUGUGUUGCAGCACUGGCAGUCCACCUGGACCGCACGUCACUCCUUGAUGGACGUGUUGCUUGCCUUCCACACAGCCCUCUGCCCCUUCGUGCUGUCCUCAUCCUCUGCCGGGGUUACCGCCGCAUGUCAAGCGCCGCCUUCGCCGUCGUGGAUGAAGGGCGGACCGCCUUUUCCGGCCUCCACGAUGCUGCAGGACACCGUGGACCUCCUGGAUGCCUUGCUGUGCGCCGCCUUCGCUCUCGCUGAGGAGCGCGAUGCCGCACAGCCGCUGUCUGUCAACGACUUCGUCAUCGAGCAAGCAACCCUGUUCCUUCUUUUCUACGAGGCGCUUGUGCAUCAACGCGAGGGUCGACUGCGUCGUAUCCCCGGCGUGGUGCGCGUCCUCCUCGGGCUCUCGGACCGGUGUGCUAGUGCCGCAGCGGAGAGCUGCGCCGCUGACGAGGCUGCCGCAUGUUUGCCGCGUGGUGGAGCCACGGCGAACGAGAAGGUUCAUCAUGCGGUGCGCCAUCUCCUUCCGUUUGCGCCGCUGAAUCUCUUUUACGAGCGAGUCGCGCAGCUGGCGGCCGCCUCACGCAAAGGGCAUGACAGCCGACGUGAGGUGCAGCCGUACCCGAUGAACUCGAUCGCGCUACCCAUCCGCCGCAUGUCCCUUGCACCGCAACUGCAGCACAGCACGUUGCUUGCGCUGUUACCGCUCGGUGAGUCGCUGCGGGAGCUGCAGGGGGUAGCGGCGCGGGUGUGGCAGGAGGAGCUCCCCGCGUGCUGGCAGCGUGUCGUCGCAGCCGUGGGCACGCGUGAUGGCCACCCAAGAGCACACCCCUCCUCUGCAGCGCUGCGGGGGACCAAUGACGACGCCGGCGCCUCUGCACCCACUCAACUCAGUGUAGAGAACUUCUAUCAUCCUCUGGUGCCACACGCUGUUCGAGUGCUGUACCUCCUCACUGCACACGCCCUGCGUGCGCCGACCGAAGCGGCGAAGCAAGUGCCGCUUGUGCAGCUGCAGAUGAUCUGCCAGUUGUCUGACGAGCAGCUGCUCCUCGUGCUCAAGGAGCUGCAGGUCGCGGGGCUGGCGAGUACAAAUCUCAAAACAAAGUCAGCGCGAACGCUGCUUGACACGGUGUGAUGAGCAACGAAAAGGCGGAGCGCGAGAGAGUGGAGCGGUGCGGGGCGCGGCGGUGCUGCGUUGGACGCAGGAGAGGACCUUUACGCGCCAGCUCUCACCCCCCCCCCUCCUCCUCCUCCCCUCACCUCUGCAUUCGCUUGUGCCUCUACCGCAGAGUUAUCGGUGUGCGCUUCGGCGCCCUUGGCGGACAUGAACGCGCUACCAAAAAGUGAACGGCACAGGGAAAAGACGUGCGGAGUGGGGGAGGGGGCGGUGUUAGAGUGCUGUGGGUGAUGACCUAACACCGCUCACCUAUAGCAUCAGCCCAGGGAGGCCCCGUACGGCACCUCUGUUGGCCAGCAGCGCAGCAUAUGGGCGUCUGUGUUUUGUGUGUGUGUGUGUGUUGUUCUAUGCAGCGGCAUCACUGCUGAAGUCGUCGCUGUAGUUCCUCCCCGCUCAUUGUCUUCUCUAUCCCUCCCUCUAUGCACGUGUUACGACGGAAAAGACAAGCCCAGCUGGGUUCGUGCUAUCGGAUGCGCAGCUGUUGGCAGUUGUAGCUGUUCCCGUCUCUGGAGUUACGUGAGCGUUAUCGGAAGGCACCCCUGCGGCAGCGCGCUCCGCCCGCCCCACCUCCUCCGACUCCAUGUCCUUUCCUCUGUGCUCCAUGGGCUACUCAUAACGGUCUGCCCGCACGCGCGGCUUUGCUUCGCCUUCCGUUCCACUCAUGUCCCCGACACGCUUUUUCCGUUGCUGCUGCGCGCGCUCAUGCACCUGGGUGGCUGCUGUGGGGAACUGUGUUAG